Molecule: ribosomal RNA, 354 nt
Filed under: Klebsiella variicola
Lineage: Bacteria; Pseudomonadati; Pseudomonadota; Gammaproteobacteria; Enterobacterales; Enterobacteriaceae
Description: partial 23S ribosomal RNA
Rfam family: Bacterial large subunit ribosomal RNA
Source: RNAcentral
UAGGUUAACGAGGCGAACCGGGGGAACUGAAACAUCUAAGUACCCCGAGGAAAAGAAAUCAACCGAGAUUCCCCCAGUAGCGGCGAGCGAACGGGGAGCAGCCCAGAGUCUGAAUCAGCUUGUGUGUUAGUGGAACGGUCUGGAAAGUCCGACGGUACAGGGUGAUAGUCCCGUACACCAAAAUGCACAGGUUGUGAACUCGAAGAGUAGGGCGGGACACGUGGUAUCCUGUCUGAAUAUGGGGGGACCAUCCUCCAAGGCUAAAUACUCCUGACUGACCGAUAGUGAACCAGUACCGUGAGGGAAAGGCGAAAAGAACCCCGGCGAGGGGAGUGAAAAAGAACCUGAAACCGU